RNAcentral lists this long non-coding RNA (1278 nucleotides) under Gallus gallus (chicken). RNAcentral's name for it is "lncRNA (ENSGALG00010004595.1)". The record is from RNAcentral. Lineage: Eukaryota; Metazoa; Chordata; Aves; Galliformes; Phasianidae.
AAGAAAAGAAGGAAAAAAGAAAAAAGCGAUAAAAGAGAAAAAAGAAAAUAAAGAAAACCGGAAAAACAAAAAGAGAAAGAAGAAAAAAGAACAAAAAGAAAAAAAAGAAAAGAAAGAGAAAAAAGAAAAAAAAGGAAAAGAAAGAAAGAAGGAAAGAAAAAAAGAAGGAAGAAAAGACUAAAAGAAAGAAAGGGGGAAAAAAAAAAAAGAAAGAGGCAAAAGGAAGCAAAAGAGGUGGGGAAGCUGCUCCCCCUGCACCCCCCGGUGGGAUGCGCCUGGUUGUGCGGGGGGCGCAGUGCCGGGCGGGAGGGGCGGGUUCGGGCUGCAGGAAGCCCCCUGCCCACAUGGAAGGAGCUGUGAAGAGGAAUCGUGGCAUCAGAAAGCGUUGCCGUGUUCCCACUUCAUUUCCUAGUGCCAGAUAAUUGCUUUUUCAACUCAGUUGAGACUCGGUUUGUGCUGUUGCUGUUGCCGCUCCUCUGCGAGCUUCUGUGUCUGUCUCAGGCACCCGUGUCUCCUGUUAGUCUCGUGCUCGCUCUCUGGACGGGGUUGAUAACAAAUGAUGUUCAGUGCUAAGUUCAGUAACGGCAUCCAGAAGGCGCACGGCGAGGAGGUGGCAGUGGCGACAGGAGGGAAUUGCCAUGUUCCUGGGCUGUCCCUGUGCCCCGUCAGCUGUGGAGCCCUAUAGGCCGUGCAGCCGGGCCCUUCUCCUUCACCAGACCGAUGCUACCGCUCUCAGGUGAGAUGUCCCUUCUGUGUGACAUCGUGUCACAUCAGAGCGCUUUGGGCAGUGUGGCUGCGAGGCACGCGGAUGAACCGAGGAAGCCGUUCACAGCUGAAUUAAGUGCUGGCUUCUCUCACAGGGCUUUGGCUCAACUUUUUCUUCUCCCGAAUCCUCCUGCUCCUGGAUGUACGUAAUUAAAUGACAACCCCAGCUCUUGUGAGAAAUAAAAAAUACACUUUCUAUACAUCACGAUUCUGGAGGGACGCUUUAAAAAGUGAUUCGACGUUCCCCUAAAUGUGCAGCGACCAACGGAGAAAUAAAAUGAAACCCACGUUUAUUAUUAGGAAAAAUCUUGAAACUUUUAGCCGUGCUUGUCAUUUUUAAAACUGACUUAUGAUUUAGAUGAGACAUUAAGAACAGCUUCCUAAUGGGAAGAUGGGAAGCACGAGAAUAGAUUGCCUGCAGUGGCAGUGGGAGGAUUUGAAAAUUGGGUGGACAAAUGUCUGCCGGAAUGCAGCAGCUGCAGCCCAUCCGGCCCCAUGCAUUGGACACACCAG